UACGUAGGGAGCUAACGUUGUUCGGAAUCACUGGGCAUAAAGCGCGUGUAGGCGGCAUUGUAAGUCGGGUGUGAAAUCCCUCGGCCUAACCGAGGAAUUGCGCUCGAAACUACCUUGCUUGAGGAUCAGAGGGGAGCCUGGAAUUCCUGGUGGAGCGGUGAAAUGCGUUGAUAUCAGGAGGAACACCGGCGGCGAAGGCGAGGCUCUGGCUGAUUUCUGACGCUGAGACGCGAAAGCUAGGGGAGCAAACGGG
RNAcentral lists this ribosomal RNA (253 nucleotides) under uncultured bacterium. RNAcentral describes it as "partial 16S ribosomal RNA". It matches the Rfam family "Bacterial small subunit ribosomal RNA", at positions 524 to 776 of the family's 1533-position model. The record is from RNAcentral.